GCAAAGCACAGGCGUGAGGCGGAGGUAAUGCGUAGGUGGGGAGCGUGGACCGUGAGGAUUGGGCGGAAAGACGGCGCGGGCGGUCCUGUAAGUCUGAUGUGAAAGCCCACGGCUCAACCGUGGAGGGUCAUUGGAAACUGGGGGACUUGAGUGCAGAAGAGGAAAGCGGAAUUCCACGUGUAGCGGUGAAAUGCGUAGAGAUGUGGAGGAACACCAGUGGCGAAGGCGGCUUUCUGGUCUGUAACUGACGCUGAGGCGCGAAAGCGUGGGGAGCAAACAGGAUUAGAUACCCGUGUAGUC
This 300-nucleotide ribosomal RNA is filed under the name uncultured Chlorobium sp. Its description in RNAcentral is "bacterial SSU rRNA". The stretch from base 58 to 300 matches the Rfam family "Bacterial small subunit ribosomal RNA", at positions 553 to 795 of the family's 1533-position model. The record is from RNAcentral. Lineage: Bacteria; Pseudomonadati; Chlorobiota; Chlorobiia; Chlorobiales; Chlorobiaceae.